UUGGAGGGCAAGUCUGGUGCCAGCAGCCGCGGUAAUUCCAGCUCCAAUAGCGUAUAUUAAAGUUGUUGCAGUUAAAAAGCUCGUAGUUGAAUUUCGGGGUUCUACCGUUGGUCGGGCUAUUGUCUGUACUGGCGUGUAGAAUUUCUACCUUCUGGGGAACUAUCAUGUUAUUAAUUUAGCGUGGUAGGAAACCAGGACCUUUACCUUGAAAAAAUUAGAGUGUUCAAAGCAGGCUUAUGUCUGAAUACAUUAGCAUGGAAUAAUAAAAUAGGACGGUGGUCCUGUUUUGUUGGUUUCUGAAUCACCGUAAUGAUUAAUAGGGAUAGUUGGGGGCAUUAGUAUUCAAUUGUCAGAGGUGAAAUUCUUGGAUUUAUUGAAGACUAACUACUGCGAAAGCAUUUGCCAAGGAUGUUUUCAUUAAUCAAGAACGAAAGUUAGGGGAUCGAAGACGAUCAGAUACCGUCGUAGUCUUAACCAUGAACUAUGCCGACUAGGGAUCGGACGAUGUUAACUUUUCUUGACUCGUUCGGCGCCUUACGGGAAA
RNAcentral lists this ribosomal RNA (544 nucleotides) under uncultured Glomeromycotina. RNAcentral's name for it is "SSU rRNA". It matches the Rfam family "Eukaryotic small subunit ribosomal RNA", at positions 548 to 1097 of the family's 1831-position model. Lineage: Eukaryota; Fungi; Glomeromycota. The record is from RNAcentral.